Long non-coding RNA from Lathyrus oleraceus (garden pea), 1250 nucleotides. RefSeq lists it as uncharacterized. NCBI's taxonomy places the organism in Eukaryota, Viridiplantae, Streptophyta, Magnoliopsida, Fabales, Fabaceae. The record is from RefSeq and is a predicted model, not a curated record. The transcript has 4 exons.
GCCAAAACAUGCAUAAGGAGCGUGAGGACCUAACAAGAAUGCGGCCAAGAACUCCAUUUUUGUGUAAGCUUACGUUCGAACAAGGAUCAUUCAUGGGAUCACGCACGCACGACUCAGCACUCUCCUCACUCGAUUUCGCACUGUCAACGCAUAAUCACCAAGACAAAUACGAAAGCUCACUUCAACCUCUCAUGAAGGUCAACAACGAAGAACGAAAUUGCAUUCAGCCUCGUCGUCAAGUUGUAAUCGAGGCCAACUCAUCUACGGUUUGUUUGCGCACGGGACCGAGGAGGAAGAAAUGUGGAUGCAAAUGGUGAUUGGAAGCAAGACUCACCGAAGCAGACUCUUCGAUGUGAUGAUCACAGGUUCUAUUUCCGCUUGCGUUGGAUGUCGUCGUUCUCCCCUUAUGCUGCUUCUGAACUUUUGGAAAUGUCAGGUUGGAUUUUGGAUCCGGCAAGGGCAAAACCUUCGAACGUUCUGCCGGCGGUGGAGUUACGCAGGUUCGAGGGAAGUCCGAGAUGAAGUUAUACUGUUAGAAAGUUCCAAAGCGGUUUAGUGGAAGGUGAUGGAGAAGGUUGAAGCGAGGAGAAACUCGGUUAUGGAGGUUGUGCGGAGUGAAGAAGAUUGCCACGAGCGGUUGGGGUGAGGUGAAGAAUGGAGGAGGUUGUGGCAGUGAUUGGAUGGUGAACGAGAUUGAAGGUGAUGGCGAAGAUGGAAGAAAAAGCUAGCCCCCAAAAAAGAAUCACAAAGGUUUGUCGUUAUGUCUUGCGUUAUAACCUUGCAAAGAAGGCCCGAAGUGAGUCAACUAUGACACGUCAAGUAGAUGGAUGGUGGAGGCCUAUGCAAGCGUUAUGCAGGGCUGAAGUGACUGGAUAAUGCUUGGACAAGGCUGAACUGCAAUUUUUCAUGGCAGUGUGAGAGUGGGCAGCCGUUUCGUACUUGGUGUAAAUGAAUAUCAAUGGCUUAUGGGCUGAUUGGAGUGGAUUGUUGGAGUUGAUUUGGUUAUGUUUAUUGCUUGUAGCUAGCAUUAGAUCAUUGUAAUUUGAAUCGUAUUUGAUGUACGUACUUCGUAUGCUGUAACUUUGGUUGAAUAGAAGUGAAGUGUGUAUGUAGUUAAUGAAAAUUGAAUGCCAAGGAUUUGAGUUUGGCAUAAUGGCUUUGUCGAUUUUGGAAAUUUGUAAAAAAAAAUGGUUGUAUUGCAAUUCUAUUAAUGGUUAUGUAAUUUAAAAUGUAGCAUGGUGUAAUGGUAA